GGGGCUGAUUCUGGAUUCGACGGGAUUUGCGAAACCCAAGGUGCAUGCCGAGGGGCGGUUGGCCUCGUAAAAAGCCGCAAAAAAAUAGUCGCAAACGACGAAACCUACGCUUUAGCAGCUUAAUAACCUGCUUAGAGCCCUCUCUCCCUAGUCUCCGCUCUUAGGACGGGGAUCAAGAGAGGUCAAACCCAAAAGAGAUCGCGUGGAUGCCCUGCCUGGGGUUGAAGCGUUAAAACGAAUCAGGCUAGUCUGGUAGUGGCGUGUCCGUCCGCAGGUGCCAGGCGAAUGUAAAGACUGACUAAGCAUGUAGUACCGAGGAUGUAGGAAUUUCGGACGCGGGUUCAACUCCCGCCAGCUCCACCA
Molecule: transfer-messenger RNA, 363 nt
Filed under: Salmonella enterica
Lineage: Bacteria; Pseudomonadati; Pseudomonadota; Gammaproteobacteria; Enterobacterales; Enterobacteriaceae
Also listed under: 1 other name
Rfam family: transfer-messenger RNA
About the family: Bacterial tmRNA, also known as 10Sa RNA or SsrA, is named for its dual tRNA and mRNA-like properties.
Source: RNAcentral